CACAAAGGGUGCUGAAGUUGGUGCAUGAAUAUCGAGGUUUCAGCUGGUGACAGACUGCAUGGGUGGCAGCGAUGGGCCCCUGGGAACCGUAGCAGCUGGGAGGUGCCUAUCACCGACAUCACGGCUGUCCUGGUUCCACAGUGCAGUUAUGUGCCACAGUGCAGGUGUGUCAGUUACAACAGACCUACCGUGCAGCCAGUCGUAUAAAAUGCUGUGCACACCAUCUUUCUUGUUGCUAUUUAAAGAUUUAUUUACUUACUUGAGGUAGAGUUACAGACAGAUAGAGGGAGAGACAGAGAGGGAGGUCCUCCAUCCGCUGGUUCACUCCCCAAUAGGCUGCAAUGGCCAGAGCUGCGCCAAUCCAAAGCCAGGAGCCAGGAGCUUCUUCUGGGUUUCCUAUGUUGGUGCAGGGGCCCGAGAACUUGGGCCAUCUUCUGCUGCUUUCCCAGGGCAUCAGCAGGGAGCUGGAUUGGAAGUGGAGCAGCAGGGACUUGAACCAGGGCCCAUAUGGGAUGCCGGCACUGCAGGCGGAUGUCUACCUCCUACUCCCCAGCGCCGGCCCCGCACACCGUCUCGAUCAGGAUGAACAACUGUGUCCCCGGCUUACAGCUUUGCUGCACUCCACUUCCUAUCUCUGUUUUAGAGGGUACUCCACUACUUGCAAAACCCAAACCGUGAAGCGGUGCUGUGGGACGCCGGCGGCUGCCUGGUCCACCUCGUGGUCACCACAUCGCUUAUCUGCCCCGGGAGGACAUGCCGAGGGCUGGACCUGCACCAUCCAGGUGCUCGUGUAG
RNAcentral lists this long non-coding RNA (794 nucleotides) under Oryctolagus cuniculus (rabbit). RNAcentral describes it as "lncRNA (ENSOCUG00000031071.1)". The record is from RNAcentral. Lineage: Eukaryota; Metazoa; Chordata; Mammalia; Lagomorpha; Leporidae.